This is an RNA transcript of Mus musculus (house mouse), 3010 nucleotides long. It is a transcript of the gene named syntaxin 2, with no coding region annotated. Lineage: Eukaryota; Metazoa; Chordata; Mammalia; Rodentia; Muridae. The record is from RefSeq and is marked validated. The transcript is spliced from 12 exons.
GGGUGGGGCAGGCGCAAGCGCAGAGAGCGCGGGCGCGGUUGCCGUGGCAGCGCCUGCCCGAGGGAGGGCGGCGGCGCGGGGCCAGGACCCCGGCAGGCAGAGGCGGCGACGCGGCCACCGGAGAGUGUGCGGCGGGGCAGCUGAGCGGCGGGUGCCCCGCCCUGCUGGCCGGUGGGGAUGCGGGACCGGCUGCCCGACCUCACGGCGUGUAGGACAAACGACGAUGGAGACACUGCUGUCGUCAUUGUGGAGAAGGAUCAUUUCAUGGACGGUUUCUUCCAUCAGGUAGAGGAGAUUCGAAGCAGCAUAGCCAGGAUUGCUCAGCAUGUAGAAGACGUGAAGAAGAACCACAGCAUCAUCCUGUCUGCUCCAAACCCAGAAGGAAAAAUAAAAGAAGAGCUGGAGGACCUGAACAAAGAGAUCAAGAAAACUGCUAACAGGAUCCGGGGCAAGCUGAAGUCUAUUGAGCAGAGCUGUGAUCAGGACGAGAAUGGGAACCGAACUUCAGUGGAUCUGCGGAUACGAAGGACCCAGCACUCGGUGCUGUCACGGAAGUUUGUGGACGUCAUGACAGAAUACAAUGAAGCGCAGAUCCUGUUCCGGGAGCGAAGCAAAGGCCGCAUCCAGCGCCAGCUGGAGAUCAUUCCCGUUGUCUCUCAGCUGGGAGGACCACCACUGACGACGAGCUGGAAGAGAUGCUGGAGAGCGGGAAGCCGUCCAUCUUCAUCUCGGAUAUUAUAUCAGAUUCACAAAUCACUAGGCAAGCUCUCAAUGAGAUCGAGUCCCGCCACAAAGACAUCAUGAAGCUGGAGACCAGCAUCCGAGAGCUGCACGAGAUGUUCAUGGAUAUGGCCAUGUUUGUCGAGACUCAGACUCUGUCUCCUCCUGGACGGGACCCAGGGUGAAAUGGUCAACAACAUCGAGAGAAAUGUGGUGAACUCUGUAGAUUACGUGGAACAUGCCAAGGAAGAGACGAAGAAAGCCAUCAAAUACCAGAGCAAGGCCAGGCGGAAAAAGUGGAUAAUUGCUGCUGUGGCGGUGGCUGUCAUUGCCGUCCUGGCUCUAAUCAUUGGCUUGUCGGUUGGCAAAUGAUUGCGUAGAUGGCGCUGGGUGCUUGCCUCUCCCUCAGGGUGGCAAAGGUGAUGUUCGUCCUCAUUUGUGUAGUCACUUUGCUUGUGAUCCUUGGAAUUAUUCUCGCAACAGCAUUGUCAUAGCAACCGUACCCCAAGAGCUCUUUGUCCUCGGUGACUCCGACCAUACCUGCAGCUUAGUCAGCAUCCUGUCCUUCCACGAGUGAACCUCAGACUCCAGGGCUAGCGCCGAGCACUGAGGUUUUUAUUGGUGAUGAAGAAGAAAGCACCGCAGAGGUUUCGUACCAUGAAACACCGCGAGCCCAGUGGAUGCGACAUGCCAGCCCAGAGAGCCUGGGUCUCUCUCAAGGACACCACAGAGAUUUCACAACAGUGGCCUUGCCUUGGUAGCUUUGAAAUAGGAAUGAUUGAAAAAGCCUAAUUUUUAAAGACAAUGUCAGUGUUAAAAAUGUAUGUUGUGUGUAAUUAGGGUGUGCUCUGCGCUCAGCUGGCAGUGCUGACGAAGAGACUUCGUGCCAGGCCUGAUCUCUGUUCAUGUCUUGUUUGCAGAAUCAUCACAGAACUGUUUUGUAAGGCAUCUGUAAGUUAAGUUCCUUAAUCUAUUAACAUCUAAACUCCCUUUCUAAGCUAGACACUGCCUUGUGAAGGACAAUGGGCCAGCCCCGGGCAAGCAUGAACACUGCCUUACAGCCCCUCAGGGCCCUUCUAUAGUGCCUUCUGGUGACCCUGACUAGGAAGUGUGAGGGUCUGAAGAGCCUUGAACGUUAGCUCACGGAGGGGACAAGCAGUCACAUGCCGCACUCAUGUUACUCUUCCUUGUUCAUGUGAGCUGAUGGAGUCUCAAGGCAAGGCGACAGUGACGAUGGAGCAAACUUGGUGCUCACUAAACUCAAGAGAAUGGUCCCGGGUACAUAGCCACUCCUGGAUGGCACCUGAAGGACCAGGUCCUCAGCCCAACACCCACGAGUGCCCAGAGUUCCUAAGAAACCAUGAAGUGUGGGAUAAAGCUGUGCACUGGUUUACACUUGUGAAUAGAUGGCCCAGCGACCAAGUAUGUGAAGGAUACCAUGACUAGUGAACUCUGCCAACUGCUGACUGUGAUGAGUGCUCACUCUACCCCAGCCUCACUUGGUGGGAUAUGAUGUAGCCAUGCCGGGUCAGAACACCAAGUGUGAGCAAGUGCUACUGAACUAUCUAAAAACCAUGAUCCUUUCAGUGGUGAGUGUGCCACACUGUCACCUCCUCACACCUCCUGGUCUGACACCCCAUGUGCCGAGAGCUACUGCAGCAGGCUGGGCUGUGGGUCCUGGUCUAGAGUUAGCCUGUAGUGCAGCCACUCCUGGCUGAUAGCUCACCCUUCCUAACUGGGAGCUCACCCUUCCUGCCUGGAAGCUCACACUUCCUGUCUGGGAGCUCACCCUUCUUGCCUGGGAGCUCACACUUCCUGUCUGGGAGCUCACACUUCCUUCCUGGGAGCUCACACUUCCUGCCUGGGAGCUCACCCUUCCUGCCUGGGAGCUCACACUUCCUGCCUGGGAGCUCUGAAGAUGAACCUGGGCCUUUGCAGCUCACCCUCUCUGCAUCAGUCAGUGCCAUCGGAUUUAGCUGCAGAGACCAUGCGUACCACCCAGGCUCCCACCACCCACAGCCAGGUGUCCCUCCAGUCCAGCCUGAGCCCUUGGCCUGCAGUGUGCUCGCAGAGCGCUCAGGAGACCUCUCGACCAGGCAGGCAGCUGAAUCUGGAUUUCCAGUGAAUCAGGGGUGUGUGGGUGACUGAGUCAGCACUCCAGAUACAUCUCUCUGCUGACUUCAUAGCCUAUUUAAAAAUAUAUUUACAGAUUCCCUUGUUACCUUUUCCAAGCAUUUCUUCAAAUAUUUUGUGUUUACAUUAAAAAGUUCUCAGAGAUGCAAACAAGAAA